UUGCCCUUAUACCGGUGACAUCUCAUCCUUGGCUUCCCCUGGAAAGUCUUUUCUAGAUUUCCCCAGCGGAGUUGUAUUGCUAUUUGUGUUGCUGUAUUGGUGUUAUCCCCAGUACGUGCAUUUCGUGAGUCAGCUUGAGUCGUUUCCAAUGAGAGUUUUCCUUUGGAAUUGCUUCUCUCCCCAGUGAGUCCUUUACUUCCCCAGUGAGGUCUCCAG
RNAcentral lists this long non-coding RNA (216 nucleotides) under Lathyrus oleraceus (garden pea). Its description in RNAcentral is "Pisum sativum (pea) long non-coding RNA (PSAT_LNC005369)". Lineage: Eukaryota; Viridiplantae; Streptophyta; Magnoliopsida; Fabales; Fabaceae. The record is from RNAcentral.